AAGGUUUCCGUAGGUGAACCUGCGGAA
Molecule: non-coding RNA, 27 nt
Filed under: Drosophila melanogaster (fruit fly)
Lineage: Eukaryota; Metazoa; Arthropoda; Insecta; Diptera; Drosophilidae
Also listed under: 10 other names
Source: RNAcentral